UGGCAGAGGAGAUGGCGCUACGUGAGGCUGGUGAAGCUGAGCAGCGUGCACAGAUUGCUUCU
Molecule: non-coding RNA, 62 nt
Filed under: Geminigera cryophila
Lineage: Eukaryota; Cryptophyceae; Pyrenomonadales; Geminigeraceae
Source: RNAcentral